Molecule: long non-coding RNA, 212 nt
Filed under: Lathyrus oleraceus (garden pea)
Lineage: Eukaryota; Viridiplantae; Streptophyta; Magnoliopsida; Fabales; Fabaceae
Description: Pisum sativum (pea) long non-coding RNA (PSAT_LNC013054)
Source: RNAcentral
UGACUUUUUCUUUCAUUUUUCUAUUCAUUUUCUUUUGUUUUCUUUGAAACAUUGGGGACAAUGUUUCAUUUAAGUGUGGGGGGGAAAACCUUGUUCUUUCAACCUUCCCUUUUCAAGUAUGUUAUUUUCCCUUUCAUUGUUAUUUCCCUUUCUUAUUAUAAAAAAAAAAUUUAUUAUAAUAUAUAUUUAUUUUAAGUCAAGUCCCUAGUGUG